AUCCAGAUGACGAAUUCCAGAUAGGACGAAAUUCACGUCCUGGAU
Schistosoma mattheei is the source of this 45-nucleotide non-coding RNA. The record is from Rfam. NCBI's taxonomy places the organism in Eukaryota, Metazoa, Platyhelminthes, Trematoda, Strigeidida, Schistosomatidae.